CAACUUUCAACAACGGAUCUCUUGGCUCUCGCAUCGAUGAAGAACGCAGCGAAAUGCGAUAAGUAAUGUGAAUUGCAGAUUUUCAGUGAAUCAUCGAAUCUUUGAACGCACCUUGCGCUCCUUGGUAUUCCGAGGAGCAUGCCUGUUUGAGUGUCAUU
This 158-nucleotide ribosomal RNA is filed under the name Piloderma fallax. RNAcentral describes it as "5.8S ribosomal RNA". It matches the Rfam family "5.8S ribosomal RNA". From Rfam's summary of the family: 5.8S ribosomal RNA (5.8S rRNA) is a component of the large subunit of the eukaryotic ribosome. It is transcribed by RNA polymerase I as part of the 45S precursor that also contains 18S and 28S rRNA. RNAcentral also lists the same sequence under 1 other name. The record is from RNAcentral. Lineage: Eukaryota; Fungi; Basidiomycota; Agaricomycetes; Atheliales; Atheliaceae.